GACGAACGCUGGCGGCGUGCCUAAUACAUGCAAGUUGAGCGCUGAAGGUUGGUACUUGUACCGACUGGAUGAGCAGCGAACGGGUGAGUAACGCGUGGGGAAUCUGCCUUUGAGCGGGGGACAACAUUUGGAAACGAAUGCUAAUACCGCAUAAAAACUUUAAACACAAGUUUUAAGUUUGAAAGAUGCAAUUGCAUCACUCAAAGAUGAUCCCGCGUUGUAUUAGCUAGUUGGUGAGGUAAAGGCUCACCAAGGCGAUGAUACAUAGCCGACCUGAGAGGGUGAUCGGCCACAUUGGGACUGAGACACGGCCCAAACUCCUACGGGAGGCAGUAGUAGGGAAUCUUCGGCAAUGGACGAAAGUCUGACCGAGCAACGCCGCGUGAGUGAAGAAGGUUUUCGGAUCGUAAAACUCUGUUGGUAGAGAAGAACGUUGGUGAGAGUGGAAAGCUCAUCAAGUGACGGUAACUACCCAGAAAGGGACGGCUAACUACGUG
Molecule: ribosomal RNA, 497 nt
Filed under: uncultured bacterium
Lineage: Bacteria
Description: partial 16S ribosomal RNA
Rfam family: Bacterial small subunit ribosomal RNA
Source: RNAcentral